AGAGUUUGAUCAUGGCUCAGAUUGAACGCUGGCGGCAUGCCUUACACAUGCAAGUCGAACGGUAACAGGUCUUCGGAUGCUGACGAGUGGCGAACGGGUGAGUAAUACAUCGGAACGUGCCCAGACGUGGGGGAUAACGAGGCGAAAGCUUUGCUAAUACCGCAUACGAUCUAAGGAUGAAAGCAGGGGACCGCAAGGCCUUGCGCGUUUGGAGCGGCCGAUGGCAGAUUAGGUAGUUGGUGGGAUAAAAGCUUACCAAGCCGACGAUCUGUAGC
Molecule: ribosomal RNA, 275 nt
Filed under: uncultured Acidovorax sp.
Lineage: Bacteria; Pseudomonadati; Pseudomonadota; Betaproteobacteria; Burkholderiales; Comamonadaceae
Description: partial 16S ribosomal RNA
Rfam family: Bacterial small subunit ribosomal RNA
Source: RNAcentral